RNAcentral lists this ribosomal RNA (254 nucleotides) under uncultured prokaryote. RNAcentral describes it as "partial 16S ribosomal RNA". It matches the Rfam family "Bacterial small subunit ribosomal RNA", at positions 524 to 777 of the family's 1533-position model. The record is from RNAcentral.
GACGAACCGUGCGAACGUUGUUCGGAAUCACUGGGCUUAAAGGGCGCGUAGGCGGGCUAUCAAGUCCGGGGUGAAAUCCUCCAGCUUAACUGGAGAACUGCCUCGGAUACUGAUGGUCUCGAGGAGGAUAGGGGCACACGGAACUGUGGGUGGAGCGGUGAAAUGCGUUGAUAUCCAUAGGAACUCCGGUGGCGAAAGCGGUGUGCUGGAUCCUUUCUGACGCUGAGGCGCGAAAGCCAGGGGAGCAAACGGGA